Molecule: long non-coding RNA, 1375 nt
Filed under: Podarcis muralis (Common wall lizard)
Lineage: Eukaryota; Metazoa; Chordata; Lepidosauria; Squamata; Lacertidae
Description: lncRNA (ENSPMRG00000019498.1)
Source: RNAcentral
GCGGAAAGCCUCCACCUUUCUCCAAAAAGUCCCCUUCGGGCCAGGCAGUCUCCGCCCUCCAUUGUUAAUUGGCCAGAUGUUCUCGCAGCCCAGCCGCUGCCUCCUUGCGCGUCUUUCGUCCCGGGUGGCUCCCGGAGCAGCUGCGCGACGCUGAGAUGCGCUGAGCCCGUGGCAGCAGGUUCCCAUUGCCUUCUCAGAAACUUCGGGAGGAUCCAGCAGAAGAAAAUGGCCCAGUCCGCACACCUGAAUCAAAAUCUCCCAGGUAAUGAGAAAUUUAUUUUAUUUCACUCUGCUUGCGAUGAGGACAUUGGGUCGCAUGCCAUGCUAGGCAUUGCCAGAGCAGAUCCUCUGAAACAAAUGGUUCUAAGUUGGUCGUGGCCUUUAACUACAAUGGGUCUACUCUUGAGUAGAAUUUAGUGGGAGAUAUCCCAUAGGGUAGGGACGCGGGUGGCGCUGUGGGUAAAAGCCUCAGCGCCUAGGGCUUGCCGAUCGAAAGGUCGGCGGUUCGAAUCCCCGCGGCGGGGUGCGCUCCCGCUGCUCGGUCCCAGUGCCUGCCAACCUAGCAGUUCGAAAGCACCCCCGGGUGCAAGUAUAUAAAUAGGGACCGCUUACUGGCGGGAAGGUAAAUGGCGUUCCGUGUGCUGCGCUGGCUCGCCAGAUGCAGCUUUGUCACGCUGGCCACGUGACCCGGAAGUGUCUCUGGACAGCGCUGGCCCCCGGCCUCUUGAGUGAGAUGGGCGCACAACCUCAGAGUCUGUCAAGACUGGCCCGUACGGGCAGGGGUACCUUUACCUUUACCUUUAUCCCAUAGGGUGCUAGCUGCCUUCUGCCAGAUCAUACCAUUAAUCCAUCUAGCUCAGUAUAACAUCUAGAUUCUAGAGUGACGGCAUCUCUGUGGGGGUUUGGAACAGACCUUUCCCGAGCCCUGCCUGGGUUUCCUGAUGGUGGACCCUGGGGUCUUUUGCACAUAAAGAAUGUUUAGAAUCCCAAUCUGUGCUGGUCCCGUGGGCUAACUGAAAGGCGAGGUCCGAGUCCAGUCUGAGGUCAAAGGUGCAGUAUGGAGGCAGUCCGUAAAAGUUGAAGCUGGAUGCAGGGCAGGUAGUCAGGUGAGGUCAGGAGCUCCGGAAGGAAAGCAGGACGGGGUUCAGGCAGGAACCGACAACCAAUGAAGUUGCUCCCGCAACUUGGGACUGGGGCUGGCUGGCUUUUAGCGGCCCCGAUCCUCAGGUGACUCGCCUCUCCUGGCCUGGAGGCGAGCGCUCCUCCUGCGGGAACUUAGUUCCCUCCGCCUCUCUGCCCUGAGCCUCUGCAGCUCAGGAUAGGCUGGAGGGUUACUGGACCCAGAGGCAACCUCUCCUUCCCCUGACAGGGCUGA